GAGCUUGCUUUGACAGCACAUAUACUAAAAUUGGAUGCAUAGAGAGAAGAUUAGAACAGUACAUGUGCAAAGGUGCCACCUAAAUUCAUGAAGCAUUCUAUAUUUUU
Cebus imitator (Panamanian white-faced capuchin) is the source of this 107-nucleotide small nuclear RNA. NCBI's taxonomy places the organism in Eukaryota, Metazoa, Chordata, Mammalia, Primates, Cebidae. The record is from Ensembl.